UCAAAUGACGAGAAAAUCCGAUUAGCUCUAGAUCGGGAGUCGCAUUUGCGGCGAUGACGGUUUAACAUGUAUUAUCCGAUGA
Molecule: small nucleolar RNA, 82 nt
Filed under: Paecilomyces variotii
Lineage: Eukaryota; Fungi; Ascomycota; Eurotiomycetes; Eurotiales; Thermoascaceae
Also listed under: 1 other name
Description: Byssochlamys spectabilis A. fimigatus snoRNA Afu_199
Rfam family: A. fimigatus snoRNA Afu_199
Source: Rfam by way of RNAcentral